Non-coding RNA from Parelaphostrongylus tenuis, 79 nucleotides. The record is from the annotation of a GenBank genome assembly. NCBI's taxonomy places the organism in Eukaryota, Metazoa, Nematoda, Chromadorea, Rhabditida, Metastrongylidae.
GUAGAUCAGUAGUGCAACGGGUUAGAGCACGCGCUCCCGCGGAUAGAGCGAGAUGCGGGUUCGAGUCCCGCCUGACGCG